Molecule: unclassified non-coding RNA, 223 nt
Filed under: Hevea brasiliensis (rubber tree)
Lineage: Eukaryota; Viridiplantae; Streptophyta; Magnoliopsida; Malpighiales; Euphorbiaceae
Source: RNAcentral
GUAACAAAUGUUGUAGUGAUACAUUAGUACAGGUUUCAAUCAAGAUAAAGCUACUAGGUUUCUGUGCCUUUGUCUGAAUCCAUUUCCGAACUUUCAUGCUCUGUAUAAUAAGUGCAAUUUUUAAUUAAUAAAAUGGUUUUAUCGGUACAUGUUUAUGAAAUCAGGUUUAUUUCUUGUUUAUUAGAUAUUGCUACUGCUUGAUAAUUAUAUAUGUGGUUCUUUU